GAUGAACGCUGGCGGCGUGCCUAAUACAUGCAAGUCGAGCGAACGGACGAGAAGCUUGCUUCUCUGAUGUUAGCGGCGGACGGGUGAGUAACACGUGGAUAACCUACCUAUAAGACUGGGAUAACUUCGGGAAACCGUAGCUAAUACCGGAUAAUAUUUUGAACCGCAUGGUUCAAAAGUGAAAGACGGUCUUGCUGUCACUUAUAGAUGGAUCUGCGCUGCAUUAGCUAGUUGGUAAGGUAACGGCUUACCAAGGCAACGAUGCAUAGCCGACCUGAGAGGGUGAUCGGCCACACUGGAACUGAGACACGGUCCAGACUCCUACGGGAGGCAGCAGUAGGGAAUCUUCCGCAAUGGGCGAAAGCCUGACGGAGCAACGCCGCGUGAGUGAUGAAGGUCUUCGGAUCGUAAAACUCUGUUAUUAGGGAAGAACAUAUGUGUAAGUAACUGUGCACAUCUUGACGGUACCUAAUCAGAAAGCCACGGCUAACUACGUG
This 497-nucleotide ribosomal RNA is filed under the name uncultured bacterium. Its description in RNAcentral is "partial 16S ribosomal RNA". It matches the Rfam family "Bacterial small subunit ribosomal RNA", at positions 28 to 507 of the family's 1533-position model. The record is from RNAcentral.